GACGAACGCUGGCGGCGUGCUUAACACAUGCAAGUCGAACGGUGAAGCGCCUUCCUUUUUGGUGGGUGUGGAUGAGUGGCGAACGGGUGAGUAACACGUGAGUAACCUGCCCCCUUCUUCUGGAUAACCGCAUGAAAGUGUGGCUAAUACGGGAUAUUCUGGGUCUGUCGCAUGAUGGGUCUGGGAAAGAUAUUGUUUCGGUGGGGGAUGGGCUCGCGGCCUAUCAGCUUGUUGGUGGGGUGAUGGCCUACCAAGGCGGUGACGGGUAGCCGGCCUGAGAGGGUGGACGGUCACACUGGGACUGAGACACGGCCCAGACUCCUACGGGAGGCAGCAGUGGGGAAUAUUGCACAAUGGGCGCAAGCCUGAUGCAGCGACGCCGCGUGAGGGAUGGAGGCCUUCGGGUGGUGAACCUCUUUCGCAGUGAAGCAGGCCUGCCUCGUUUGUGGGUGGGUUGACGGUAGCUGGAUAAGAAGCGCCGGCUAACUACGUG
RNAcentral lists this ribosomal RNA (493 nucleotides) under uncultured bacterium. RNAcentral describes it as "partial 16S ribosomal RNA". It matches the Rfam family "Bacterial small subunit ribosomal RNA", at positions 28 to 507 of the family's 1533-position model. The record is from RNAcentral.